AAUUGACGGGGGCCCGCACAAGCGGUGGAGCACGUGGCUUAAUUCGAUGCAGAGCGAAGAACCUUACCAGGGCUUGACAUGUCGCCCUCUUGAAAGAGAGGGGUGCCUUCGGAAACGGGGGCAACGCGGACACAGGUGGUGCAUGGCUGUCGUCAGUUCGUGCCGUGAGGUGUUGAGUUCAGUCUCGCAACGAGCGGAACCCUCGUGUUUAGUUGCCACUAUUGAGUUGGAACCCUGAACAGACUGCUGGUGUUAAGCCGGAGGAAGGCGAGGAUCACGUCAAGUCAUCAUGCCCCUUAUGCCCUGGGCGACUAUUACGUGCUACAAUGGACGGGACAAAGGUCGCGAUCAGAUCUCAGAUCACGCGCGCGAUCCCGCGAGGGUGAGCUAACUCCAAAAACCCGUCCUCAGUUCGGAUUGCAGACUGCAACUCGUCUGCAUGAAGCAGGAAUCGCUAGUAAUCGCUGGUCAGCCACACGGCGGUGAAUUCGUUCUCGGGUCUUGUACACACCGCCCGUCACACUAGGGGAGCUGGCCUUGUUUGAAAGCUUUAAAACCUGAACCGCAAGGAAGGGUAUGCAGAAGGCAAGGCGAGUGACUAAAGUGAAGUCGUAACAAGGUAGCCGAAUCGA
This 632-nucleotide ribosomal RNA is filed under the name uncultured bacterium. RNAcentral describes it as "bacterial SSU rRNA". It matches the Rfam family "Bacterial small subunit ribosomal RNA", at positions 908 to 1508 of the family's 1533-position model. The record is from RNAcentral.